RNAcentral lists this ribosomal RNA (426 nucleotides) under uncultured bacterium. Its description in RNAcentral is "bacterial SSU rRNA". It matches the Rfam family "Bacterial small subunit ribosomal RNA", at positions 29 to 462 of the family's 1533-position model. The record is from RNAcentral.
AUUGAACGCUGGCGGCAUGCUUUACACAUGCAAGUCGAACGGCAGCGCGGGGCAACCCUGGCGGCGAGUGGCGAACGGGUGAGUAAUGCAUCGGAACGUAUCCUGUAAUGGGGGAUAACGUAGCGAAAGUUACGCUAAUACCGCAUACGCUCGAGAGAGGAAGGUGGGGAUCGCAAGACCUCACGUUAUAGGAGCGGCCGAUGUCCGAUUAGCUAGUUGGUGGGUGAAGGCCUACCAAGGCGACGAUCGGUGGCUGGUCUGAGAGGAUGAUCAGCCACACUGGGACUGAGACACGGCCCAGACUCCUACGGGAGGCAGCAGUGGGGAAUUUUGGACAAUGGGCGAAAGCCUGAUCCAGCCAUGCCGCGUGCGGGAAGAAGGCCUCGGUUGUAAACGCUUAGUCCGGAAAAGGGUAGCGAGGAGUAA